RNAcentral lists this ribosomal RNA (262 nucleotides) under uncultured bacterium. Its description in RNAcentral is "partial 16S ribosomal RNA". It matches the Rfam family "Bacterial small subunit ribosomal RNA", at positions 57 to 305 of the family's 1533-position model. The record is from RNAcentral.
GCAAGUCGAGCGGAAACGACACUAACAACCCUUCGGGUGCGUUAAUGGGCGUCGAGCGGCGGACGGGUGAGUAAUGCCUAGGAAAUUGCCUUGAUGUGGGGGAUAACCAUUGGAAACGAUAGCUAAUACCGCAUAAUGUCUUCGGACCAAAGAGGGGGAUCUUCGGACCUCUCGCGUCAAGAUAUGCCUAGGUGGGAUUAGCUAGUUGGUGAGGUAAUGGCUCACCAAGGCGACGAUCCCUAGCUGGUCUGAGAGGAUGAUC